GCCCGGCUAGCUCAAUCGGUAGAGCGUGAGACUCUUAAGAUUCACGUGAUCAUCUCAAGGUUGUGGGUUCGACCCCCACGUCGGGCU
Immersiella caudata is the source of this 87-nucleotide non-coding RNA. Lineage: Eukaryota; Fungi; Ascomycota; Sordariomycetes; Sordariales; Lasiosphaeriaceae. The record is from the annotation of a GenBank genome assembly.